Acanthochromis polyacanthus (spiny chromis) is the source of this 112-nucleotide long non-coding RNA. RefSeq lists it as uncharacterized. Lineage: Eukaryota; Metazoa; Chordata; Actinopteri; Pomacentridae. The record is from RefSeq and is a predicted model, not a curated record. The transcript is spliced from 3 exons.
UUUUAUGUUGUUUUCAGGUUGUUUUCAGGUUGUUUUUAUGUUGUUUUCAGGUUGUUUUCAGGUUGUUUUCAGGUUGUUUUUAUGUUGUUUUUAUGUUGUUUUCAGGUUGUUU